This 467-nucleotide ribosomal RNA is filed under the name uncultured bacterium. RNAcentral's name for it is "partial 16S ribosomal RNA". It matches the Rfam family "Bacterial small subunit ribosomal RNA", at positions 28 to 507 of the family's 1533-position model. The record is from RNAcentral.
GAUGAACGCUGACAGAAUGCUUAACACAUGCAAGUCCACUUGAAUUUGGGUUUUUAACUUAGGUUUGGGUGGCGGACGGGUGAGUAACGCUUAAAGAACUUGCCUCACAGCUAGGGACAACAUUUGGAAACGAAUGCUAAUACCUAAUAUUAUGAUAAUAGGGCAUCCUAUAAUUAUGAAAGCUAUAAGCGCUGUGAGAGAGCUUUGCGUCCCAUUAGCUAGUUGGAGAGGUAACGGCUCACCAAGGCGAUGAUGGGUAGCCGGCCUGAGAGGGUGAUCGGCCACAAGGGGACUGAGACACGGCCCUUACUCCUACGGGAGGCAGGAGUGGGGAAUAUUGGACAAUGGACCGAGAGUCUGAUCCAGCAAUUCUGUGUGCACGAUGAAGUUUUUCGGAAUGUAAAGUGCUUUCAGUUGGGAAGAAACAAAUGACGGUACCAACAGAAGAAGUGACGGCUAAAUACGUG